AAUAAAAAAAAAAAAAAAAACUUCCAGAUUGUUACUUUUUUUCGUUCCUGCGCCGCACAUACAUGUAUGUAAAUUAUAUAAGACUGUGCUCGGCAUG
Molecule: non-coding RNA, 97 nt
Filed under: Partenskyella glossopodia
Lineage: Eukaryota; Cercozoa; Chlorarachniophyceae
Source: RNAcentral